This 78-nucleotide transfer RNA is filed under the name Candidatus Uzinura diaspidicola str. ASNER. Its description in RNAcentral is "tRNA-Pro". It matches the Rfam family "tRNA". Rfam says of the family: Transfer RNA (tRNA) molecules are approximately 80 nucleotides in length. Their secondary structure includes four short double-helical elements and three loops (D, anti-codon, and T loops). The record is from RNAcentral. Lineage: Bacteria; Pseudomonadati; Bacteroidota; Flavobacteriia; Flavobacteriales.
CGGGGUGUAGCGUAGUUUGGUAAACGCGCCUGGUUUGGGGCCAGGAAAUCGUAGGUUCAAAUCCUGCCACCCCGACAA